UGGUAGAUAGCUCAGUGGUAGAGCAUAAACAGGCACUGGUUCGAUUCCAGUUCUACCAG
This 59-nucleotide transfer RNA is filed under the name Apilactobacillus timberlakei. Its description in RNAcentral is "Lactobacillus timberlakei tRNA-Ser". It matches the Rfam family "tRNA". From Rfam's summary of the family: Transfer RNA (tRNA) molecules are approximately 80 nucleotides in length. The record is from RNAcentral. Lineage: Bacteria; Bacillati; Bacillota; Bacilli; Lactobacillales; Lactobacillaceae.